GAAAACUACGUGCAAUUCAUGGAAAGGACUUACUGCCUCAUUGGCAUACUUUUUACUCUCAUUCUUUUACCAGCGAGUCGCGCAGUAGAUCUUCAAUAUGGCGGAAUUCGAAGGCUAACAAGGCCAAUCGCAACGAUAGUAAUGACAGCGAUUAGAGACCUCAUCCAAAAAUCCACAAGAUCGCCUUGGCUAUCAAUGGGCUAUAGCUUCACACGGAGCAUUCCUGUCGGAGGAGGAUACUUCGUCCAUAUAAGGAUUUGGAUCACUGUUCCUCUUCGCAAUGGGCUCACAGCCUUCGCUCCAUCGUCUUUCCAAGAAUCGACGCUGGAAAUUCGGCAACAGCUCUUUGAUAUUCUCCGCUACGUUUGGGAGUUUGUGGUCGGCAUGCGCAUGGAAUUUAUGAGCGCCGUGGAGGGAAUCUAUGGAAUCGAGUACCACCGCACCACAAAUCCCCGCGACGAGCUGCUUAGUGUUAAUCACGCCGCUUAUAAUCGCUUCCAAAGCGUGGUUGGCAGUGGCAGCGAGAGCGUCUCUAAGACCAACUUAGUGAGUAACACGCCGUUUAAGUACCUGCGCGAUUCGCUAAUCUCCACCAGCCUUCGCUAUAAGCUGGAGAUGCGAGGCGGCUGUUACCUCGUGUUGUACGACACAGCUUUUCACGACGAUAUUUGGACCAGUGGCACGUACGGACUUGGCUAUGGAUGCUUUGUGGAGCUCGAGCCCAGCCCUAACCUGGCGAUCUAUGACGAAGGUGGGAAGCUCGUGAGGUAUCUCUACGAAUCUGGCUGUGACAACUGCGAUCGAUCGUCGGCGCUGGUCGUCCAGGACGAUGGGAAUGUGGUGCUCUACCUGACCGACACUGGCGAGGCGAUCUGGGCUACCGGGACGAAUCGCUGAGCCAGGAAAUGGAUUUUCUGUGAGAACAUCCGAGCAAUCCAGAUUCUCCUGUGCAAAAAUUCGAGCGCAUUGUUUCCCUCUCUCAAAUGUUCACGCUGGGAUCCUCUAGACGUGGCUCCCGGCGGGCGGCUCUCCGGAUUUCCUCCGCCACGGCCCUGUAAUCGGCGGCCUGUGCGACGAUCACAGCUGUGAGAUCGAUCUGGGACGCAAUCUACGUACUGUGUUGAGGCCGAAUGCUCCGCCCAGGAGCCCUAGGAACCCACAAGCUCCAGCUCCCACGUAGAGCGUCGCGAUCCCCAGGGCCUUGCUCGCGAUCGCCGCUCCGGAUCCAUGCGCGCCGGAAUGCUUGAGCUUCCUGGCAACCAACAGCUGUGAAAUCGACAAUCCCGAGUAGAUUGCCGGCAAACAGCACGUAUCGGCGAUCUUCGCCAUAGCCAGAGCUUUAGGGUUUAGCGAAGACUUUAUUGACUUUGAUUGACUUUGCAUUGAAAGAAAACUAUUAGUAAAA
This 1405-nucleotide long non-coding RNA is filed under the name Selaginella moellendorffii. RNAcentral describes it as "long non-coding RNA (SMOE_LNC000289)". Lineage: Eukaryota; Viridiplantae; Streptophyta; Lycopodiopsida; Selaginellales; Selaginellaceae. The record is from RNAcentral.